This 68-nucleotide transfer RNA is filed under the name bovine gut metagenome. It matches the Rfam family "tRNA". Rfam says of the family: Transfer RNA (tRNA) molecules are approximately 80 nucleotides in length. Their secondary structure includes four short double-helical elements and three loops (D, anti-codon, and T loops). Further hydrogen bonds mediate the characteristic L-shaped molecular structure. tRNAs have two regions of fundamental functional importance: the anti-codon, which is responsible for specific mRNA codon recognition, and the 3' end, to which the tRNAs corresponding amino acid is attached (by aminoacyl-tRNA synthetases). tRNAs cope with the degeneracy of the genetic code in two manners: having more than one tRNA (with a specific anti-codon) for a particular amino acid; and 'wobble' base-pairing, i.e. permitting non-standard base-pairing at the 3rd anti-codon position. The record is from RNAcentral.
GGGUGGAGUAGUGGCUAGCUCGUCGGGCUCAUAACCCGGAGAUCGUAGGUUCGAAUCCUACCCCCGCC